RNAcentral lists this ribosomal RNA (778 nucleotides) under Mischocyttarus mexicanus cubicola. RNAcentral's name for it is "eukaryotic LSU rRNA". It matches the Rfam family "Eukaryotic large subunit ribosomal RNA", at positions 417 to 944 of the family's 3401-position model. Lineage: Eukaryota; Metazoa; Arthropoda; Insecta; Hymenoptera; Vespidae. The record is from RNAcentral.
AAACCUGAGAAACCCGAAAGAUCGAAUGGGAAGAUUCAGCGUCAGCGGCGCUUGCUAGGCGGAUCGUGCGUCGUCUCGGACUUCUGUCUUGAGACUCGUAUUCUUUCCAUGCCUUGUUUGGCGUCGUCGUCGUGCACUUCUUCCUUAGUAGAACGUCGCGACCCGUUGGGUGUCGGUAUACGGUCCGAGCGGUAGACUGCCGCGUCGCUUCGGCGUACGCGGCAGACCCUCGGUCACCUGACCGGCUGCCCGGCGGUCGAACUUAUAAGGUAUCUUGCCGCAAUUAUCGAACGUGCGUCGGGCCCGUCGCAAGCGAGGCCAGUAUUUAUCGGAGUUACGGACCCGGUGCCGUACCCGUAACUGGCCAGCUGUUUGCAGACGGAGUCCUUUGACGGGCAAUACACAAUGAUACCGGUCUGCGACGCUACUGCUUUGGGUACUCUCAGGACCCGUCUUGAAACACGGACCAAGGAGUCUAACAUGUGCGCGAGUCAUUGGGACCGCGAAGCCUAAAGGCAUAAUGAAAGUGAAGGUCGUACUCUAAGGUCGACCGAGGGAGGAUGGGCCGCGUUUACGCGUUGCUCCGCACUCCCGGGGCGUCUCGCUCUCAUUGCGAGAAGAGGCGCACCCAGAGCGUACACGUUGGGACCCGAAAGAUGGUGAACUAUGCCUGGUCAGGACGAAGUCAGGGGAAACCCUGAUGGAGGUCCGUAGCGAUUCUGACGUGCAAAUCGAUCGUCGGAACUGGGUAUAGGGGCGAAAGACUAAUCGAACCAUC